This 497-nucleotide ribosomal RNA is filed under the name uncultured bacterium. RNAcentral's name for it is "partial 16S ribosomal RNA". It matches the Rfam family "Bacterial small subunit ribosomal RNA", at positions 28 to 507 of the family's 1533-position model. The record is from RNAcentral.
GAUGAACGCUGGCGGCGUGCCUAAUACAUGCAAGUCGAGCGAACGGACGAGAAGCUUGCUUCUCUGAUGUUAGCGGCGGACGGGUGAGUAACACGUGGAUAACCUACCUAUAAGACUGGGAUAACUUCGGGAAACCGGAGCUAAUACCGGAUAAUAUUUUGAACCGCAUGGUUCAAAAGUAAAAGACGGUCUUGCUGUCACUUAUAGAUGGAUCCGCGCUGCAUUAGCUAGUUGGUAAGGUAACGGCUUACCAAGGCAACGAUGCAUAGCCGACCUGAGAGGGUGAUCGGCCACACUGGAACUGAGACACGGUCCUGACUCCUACGGGAGGCAGCAGUAGGGAAUCUUCCGCAAUGGGCGAAAGCCUGACGGAGCAACGCCGCGUGAGUGAUGAAGGUCUUCGGAUCGUAAAACUCUGUUAUUAGGGAAGAACAUAUGUGUAAGUAACUGUGCACAUCUUGACGGUACCUAAUCAGAAAGCCACGGCUAACUACGUG